UGCAGAGGUGUCAAGCGUUGCUCGGUGUCACUGGGCUUAAAGGGCGCGUAGGCUGUGCAGUACGGCUCGGGUGAAAUCCCUCGGCCCAACCGAGGAACUGCCCGGGCGACGGCUGCGCUAGACUGCAUCAGGGGCGGAUGGAACUCCCGGUGGAGCGGUGAAAUGCGUAGAUAUCGGGAGGAACGCCGGUGGCGAAAGCGAUCCGCUGGGGUGCAUGUGACGCUGAGGCGCGAAAGCCAGGGGAGCAAACGGG
Molecule: ribosomal RNA, 253 nt
Filed under: uncultured bacterium
Lineage: Bacteria
Description: partial 16S ribosomal RNA
Rfam family: Bacterial small subunit ribosomal RNA
Source: RNAcentral